CCCGCUGAACUUAAGCAUAUCAAUAAGCGGAGGAAAAGAAACUAACAAGGAUUCCCCUAGUAACGGCGAGUGAAGCGGGAAGAGCUCAAAUUUGUAAUCUGGCACCUUCGGUGUCCGAGUUGUAAUCUCGAGAAGUGUUUUCCGCGCCGGACCGCAUAUAAGUCUGUUGGAAUACGGCGUCAUAGUGGUGAGAACCCCGUAACUGAUGCGGAUGCCCGGUGCUCUGUGAUACACUUUCGAAGAGUCGAGUUGUUUGGGAAUGCAGCUCAAAUUGGGUGGUAAAUUCCAUCUAAAGCUAAAUAUUGGCGAGAGACCGAUAGCGAACAAGUACCGUGAGGGAAAGAUGAAAAGCACUUUGGAAAGAGAGUUAACAGUACGUGAAAUUGUUGGAAGGGAAACGCUUGAAGUCAGACUUGCUAUUUGGAGUUCAGCCGCAAGGUGUAUUCUGCAAUUUGCAGGCCAGCAUCAGUUUUGAGGGGUGGAAAAGGGUACUGAGAAGGUAGCAGUUUCGGCUGUGUUAUAGCUCUAUACUGGAUUCAUCCUUUGGGACUGAGGAACGCAGCACGCUUUUUGCAAGGUCUUCGGGCUUUUCGUGCUUAGGAUGCUGGUGGAAUGGCUUUAAACGACCCGUCUUGAAACACGG
This 643-nucleotide ribosomal RNA is filed under the name uncultured fungus. Its description in RNAcentral is "eukaryotic LSU rRNA". It matches the Rfam family "Eukaryotic large subunit ribosomal RNA", at positions 24 to 664 of the family's 3401-position model. The record is from RNAcentral. Lineage: Eukaryota; Fungi.